CAGUAAUAUCACAAAUAAACCGUAGAGUUGAAGUACAAGGACAACAAUUGAAUUGCAAGUGAUUUGACCAUAAUUGUUCUUAAAGCAAUUGUAAUUAAGUUUACUAAUUCACGCACCAGCAGAGCAAUCCGCAUAUAUUAGACGCAAGGACAAACCUUACACCUGCUUUCAGGACCAACGAAAAGGCCAUGAAUCAGUAGUAGGAGAUAGAGAUAAUGCAUUAACGAAAUUUGAUUUUUAAAGUCAUAUAUGACGAAAGAUGAGUAUUUGGCAAUAAUCGAAACA
Long non-coding RNA from Teleopsis dalmanni, 285 nucleotides. RefSeq lists it as uncharacterized. The transcript has 3 exons. The record is from RefSeq and is a predicted model, not a curated record. NCBI's taxonomy places the organism in Eukaryota, Metazoa, Arthropoda, Insecta, Diptera, Diopsidae.